Molecule: long non-coding RNA, 246 nt
Filed under: Nicotiana benthamiana
Lineage: Eukaryota; Viridiplantae; Streptophyta; Magnoliopsida; Solanales; Solanaceae
Description: long non-coding RNA (NBEN_LNC041931)
Source: RNAcentral
UCAUUAUUUGUGGAACUACUCUCUUGUGUGAUGUGAGGGCAUGUAAUUCACAAAUGAAAGGUAAGUCUUAACUCUUGUAUAGAGUGGUUUGAGUAAGAGUGAAUGUUGCGUGGUACGAAAGAUUUGACUUUUGAGGUAAAGAUUGUUCACUACUAGGUGCAACGUUGGUAAAAUGUUCAAGGUGUGAGUCGUUAAGGGAAAAGCUUAGGAAAUGAACCUUGAUGGAGUGUGGUGGAUUGCUCGAGG